RNAcentral lists this ribosomal RNA (761 nucleotides) under Prevotella melaninogenica. RNAcentral describes it as "bacterial SSU rRNA". It matches the Rfam family "Bacterial small subunit ribosomal RNA", at positions 28 to 776 of the family's 1533-position model. The record is from RNAcentral. Lineage: Bacteria; Pseudomonadati; Bacteroidota; Bacteroidia; Bacteroidales; Prevotellaceae.
GAUGAACGCUAGCUACAGGCUUAACACAUGCAAGUCGAGGGGAAACGGCAUUGAGUGCUUGCAUUCUUUGGACGUCGACCGGCGCACGGGUGAGUAACGCGUAUCCAACCUUCCCAUUACUGUGGGAUAACCUGCCGAAAGGCAGACUAAUACCGCAUAGUCUUCGAUGACGGCAUCAGAUUUGAAGUAAAGAUUUAUCGGUAAUGGAUGGGGAUGCGUCUGAUUAGCUUGUUGGCGGGGUAACGGCCCACCAAGGCUACGAUCAGUAGGGGUUCUGAGAGGAAGGUCCCCCACAUUGGAACUGAGACACGGUCCAAACUCCUACGGGAGGCAGCAGUGAGGAAUAUUGGUCAAUGGACGGAAGUCUGAACCAGCCAAGUAGCGUGCAGGAUGACGGCCCUAUGGGUUGUAAACUGCUUUUGUAUGGGGAUAAAGUUAGGGACGUGUCCCUAUUUGCAGGUACCAUACGAAUAAGGACCGGCUAAUUCCGUGCCAGCAGCCGCGGUAAUACGGAAGGUCCAGGCGUUAUCCGGAUUUAUUGGGUUUAAAGGGAGCGUAGGCUGGAGAUUAAGUGUGUUGUGAAAUGUAGACGCUCAACGUCUGAAUUGCAGCGCAUACUGGUUUCCUUGAGUACGCACAACGUUGGCGGAAUUCGUCGUGUAGCGGUGAAAUGCUUAGAUAUGACGAAGAACUCCGAUUGCGAAGGCAGCUGACGGGAGCGCAACUGACGCUUAAGCUCGAAGGUGCGGGUAUCAAACAGG